RNAcentral lists this ribosomal RNA (450 nucleotides) under uncultured bacterium. RNAcentral describes it as "bacterial SSU rRNA". It matches the Rfam family "Bacterial small subunit ribosomal RNA", at positions 340 to 786 of the family's 1533-position model. The record is from RNAcentral.
UACGGGCAGCAGUGGGGAAUAUUGCACAAUGGGCGCAAGCCUGAUGCAGCCAUGCCGCGUGUAUGAAAAAGGCCUUCGGGUUGUAAAGUACUUUCAGUCGUGAGGAAGGUGUUAAGGUUAAUAACCUUAGCAAUUGACGUUAGCGACAGAAGAAGCACCGGCUAACUCCGUGCCAGCAGCCGCGGUAAUACGGAGGGUGCGAGCGUUAAUCGGAAUUACUGGGCGUAAAGGGCACGCAGGCGGUUAAUUAAGUUGGAUGUGAAAUCCCCGGGCUUAACCUGGGAAUGGCAUUCAAGACUGGUUAGCUAGAGUCUUGUAGAGGGGGUAGAAUUCCAUGUGUAGCGGUGAAAUGCGUAGAGAUGUGGAGGAAUACCGGUGGCGAAGGCGGCCCCUGGACAAAGACUGACGCUCAUGUGCGAAAGCGUGGGGAGCAAACAGGGAUUAGAUACC